RNAcentral lists this long non-coding RNA (436 nucleotides) under Homo sapiens (human). Its description in RNAcentral is "HSALNT0342108". Lineage: Eukaryota; Metazoa; Chordata; Mammalia; Primates; Hominidae. The record is from RNAcentral.
GAACUCCAGGUCGCGCCAAUCAGAUCAGAGAAAGAACUAUGGGCUCCGCCCCUCCAGCCGCGGUCAUCACAGAAUGGCCUGGCACGGUGACCACGGAGUGCCCUGGCACCGGUGCCCGCGGCUGUGACGGAAAAAGGGUGGGAAGAACAGGGAAGAGGAAGCAGAAACAGAGACAGAGUCUCACUGGAGUGCAGUGGCGUGACUAUGGCUCACUGCAUCCUCAAAGUCCUGGGCUCAAGUGAUCCUCCCCCCUCAACCUCCUGAGUAGCCUCUCUGCAUGUUUUUCUGAUUCAUCCAUGUUCUAUGUAUUGGUGGUUCAUUAUUUUAUUGCUGAGUAGUAUUCCACUGUAUGGAUAUAACACAACUUGUUUAUCCAUUGAAUUGUGAUGGGCCAUAAGACUGUUUCUCAUUUUUAGCUAUUAUAAAUAAAGCUUUU